This 85-nucleotide transfer RNA is filed under the name Felis catus (domestic cat). It matches the Rfam family "tRNA". From Rfam's summary of the family: Transfer RNA (tRNA) molecules are approximately 80 nucleotides in length. Their secondary structure includes four short double-helical elements and three loops (D, anti-codon, and T loops). The record is from Rfam by way of RNAcentral. Lineage: Eukaryota; Metazoa; Chordata; Mammalia; Carnivora; Felidae.
GCCUGGGUGGCUCAGUGGGUUAAGCAUCUGACUUCGGCUCAGGUCACGACCUCACAGUUGGUGGGUUCAAGCCCCACGUCGGGCU